GAAAUGCGAUAAGUAAUGUGAAUUGCAGAAUUCAGUGAAUCAUCGAAUCUUUGAACGCAUCUUGCGCUCCUUGGUAUUCCGAGGAGCAUGCCAGGCAUUGUUUGAGUGUCAUUUAAACUCUCAAACCACAUCAUUCAUUUGACGUGGCUUUGGACGUGGGGGUUGCCGGCUUUCUUCUCAGAGAGGCCUGCUCCCCUGAAAAGCAUUAGUGGUAUCUGGAGUGGAAAACCGCUAGGUGUGAUAAUACUGUCUAUGCCUUUGGUUAUGCCACAAUGUGCUGCUUCCAACCGCACAUUUUUUGACAAACUUGACCUCAAAUCAGGUAGGACUACCCGCUGAACUUAA
This 345-nucleotide unclassified non-coding RNA is filed under the name uncultured Inocybe. RNAcentral describes it as "sequence contains ITS1". The stretch from base 1 to 111 matches the Rfam family "5.8S ribosomal RNA", at positions 50 to 154 of the family's 154-position model. Lineage: Eukaryota; Fungi; Basidiomycota; Agaricomycetes; Agaricales; Cortinariaceae. The record is from RNAcentral.